AGUGAACGCUGGCGGUAGGCCUAACACAUGCAAGUCGAACGGCAGCACAGUAAGAGCUUGCUCUUACGGGUGGCGAGUGGCGGACGGGUGAGGAAUACAUCGGAAUCUACUUUUUCGUGGGGGAUAACGUAGGGAAACUUACGCUAAUACCGCAUACGACCUACGGGUGAAAGCAGGGGAUCUUCGGACCUUGCGCGAUUGAAUGAGCCGAUGUCGGAUUAGCUAGAUGACGUGGUAAAGGCCCACCAAGGCGACGAUCCGUAGCUGGUCUGAGAGGAUGAUCAGACACACCGGAACUGUGACACGGUCCAGACUCAUACAGGAGGCAGCAGUGGGGAAUAUUGGACAAUGGGCGCAAGCCUGAUGCAGCCAUACCGCGUGGGUGAAGAAGGUCUUCGGGUUGUAAAGCCCUUUUGUUGUGAAAGAAAAGCAGCAGGUUAAUACCCCGCUGUUCUGACGGUACCCAAAGAAUAAGCAUCGGCUAACUUCGU
RNAcentral lists this ribosomal RNA (491 nucleotides) under uncultured bacterium. RNAcentral's name for it is "partial 16S ribosomal RNA". It matches the Rfam family "Bacterial small subunit ribosomal RNA", at positions 29 to 506 of the family's 1533-position model. The record is from RNAcentral.